UGCUCCCAGAGGCUGCGCCCUGGGACACCGCUUCUAGAGAGGAGUGGUUCACACAGGCGCACGGGGUGGGGACAGACCUAGCAUCGGAGCCAGACCCCGUCACCGCACGGGCCUGAGAAACCAGCGAGGCUCGUUACAAGGCCAGGCGCCUGUGAGUCACACUUUGCUGCUCCUGUUUGAGUUCUCAGAUAUCUAAGAGUAGUCGUUAGGUAAAUACACAUCGACAUGCUCCUUCUCUAGCCACUUCCGCACCAUGUGCCCAUGGCAACCAGGAAGGCAGCGGAGAGGCCCUGGGGCGAUGAGGGGAGCUGCCGUAGAGACACAAUCCGCGCUGUCAUCACUAAGAAACAAUUUUCACAAAACUGCAAAAGGUCAGGAGAAACAUGGGGGCCAGCACCCCGGUUCCAGCAAGUGUGGAAAUCACCGCAGGAAAAGCCUGCCACGUUCUGGGGUAGACCGAAGGCACCUGCAGAGCAGAGCGGCACUGCUGGGACACCCAGCCACCUCCCUCCUCCCCAGGCACUGUGUACUCCAGCUCCACAGCCCCUGAGCUACACCCAGGGCUUUCUUGGGCAAGAAGGUCAAAUGCUAAGCCUGCCAGGCACAUCACCACGGCCCUGCGGAGAGACAGCUCCACUUCCUGCCAGCCCAUCCUCCAGUGGUGCUUCUAUUCCACUGCAGUGUGUAGUCAUGGAGAUUUCGUCGGCACAAGAGACGCUCUUCCCAUUAUACACAUUUUUAAAGUUCACAAAUAUCCCAAGAAAUGAAUGAAAUCACAGACACUGGUCUGUUGGUAAGUUUUCACACUUGCUAAUUUUUUCUCAUUUCUCCAGUGCACUGAAAUACAGAGAGAAGCCUCAAAAGCAGACAAAGCCUGCCUUUUUUUCCAUCACGCGGAAUACUUGAUGCUCAGAAAGCUUGGCUGUUGCCUUGAUAUAGUCAGACACGGGGCUGUCCCUAAACCUACAAAAUGCACCACUUCUUAAACGGAUGCCUGGAAGUGCUGAAUAUCUGAUUUUAGCCUGUUAAAUAUCUCUGCACAAAAAGCAACAUUAUAUUCUCUGCUGCACCCUGAGGAACAUCUGCAGCUCCCAGAACUCAGUCUGCCUUGGUCUACAUUACUGUUUUCACUGCAGUCCUGCUUUUCUUUCUAGGAAGGAUGCCAAACUUGAUCUACCAACCCCUGUAGAUGAAAGCUGCAUUUGUUUCUGUCAUUGCUAUUGAUUAAUAUAUUUGUAGGAUAGUCCUGCCUACUGAGAUGAUGGUUCAAAGCAUAUGUGUGUGUUUAAUUUCAAUACAAAGACCCAAUUCCUUCCCUAAAAGGCUG
Molecule: long non-coding RNA, 1327 nt
Filed under: Heterocephalus glaber (naked mole-rat)
Lineage: Eukaryota; Metazoa; Chordata; Mammalia; Rodentia; Bathyergidae
Description: lncRNA (ENSHGLG00000025500.2)
Source: RNAcentral